UUCCUACGGGACGCAGCAGUGAGGAAUAUUGGUCAAUGGGCGCGAGCCUGAACCAGCCAAGUAGCGUGAAGGAUGACUGCCCUACGGGUUGUAAACUUCUUUUAUAAAGGAAUAAAGUGAGGCACGUGUGCCUUUUUGUAUGUACUUUAUGAAUAAGGAUCGGCUAACUCCGUGCCAGCAGCCGCGGUAAUACGGAGGAUCCGCGCGGUAUCCGGAUUUAUUGGGUGUAAAGGGAGCGUCGAUGUGGU
Molecule: ribosomal RNA, 248 nt
Filed under: uncultured bacterium
Lineage: Bacteria
Description: partial 16S ribosomal RNA
Rfam family: Bacterial small subunit ribosomal RNA
Source: RNAcentral